Molecule: small RNA, 139 nt
Filed under: Rhizobium sp. BK456
Lineage: Bacteria; Pseudomonadati; Pseudomonadota; Alphaproteobacteria; Hyphomicrobiales; Rhizobiaceae
Description: sRNA ar35
Source: RNAcentral
AACAAGUCGGGCAAAAUGUCCGCUUGCAAUCUUCAAGCUGCCUGAAAUUGAUAUCGGCUUUCCUUUGACCACGGAUGUACUGGCACUGUUGAAAGCGUGAUACCGGCGAGGUCAGGCACAUUGCCUGGCCUUUUUGCUG